GCCAAGCGUGGUGGUGCACGCCUGUUAUCCCAGUGACUUGGGAGGCUGACACAGGAGGAUUGCAAGUUUGGGGCCAGCUUCAGCAAUUUAUCGAGGCCCUCAGCAACUUAGCAAGACCCUGUCUCAA
Molecule: small RNA, 127 nt
Filed under: Marmota monax (woodchuck)
Lineage: Eukaryota; Metazoa; Chordata; Mammalia; Rodentia; Sciuridae
Source: RNAcentral